UAGCUAAGUGGGUAGAGUGCCUGCCUUGCAUGCACAAGGCCCUGGGUUCAAUCCCCAG
RNAcentral lists this transfer RNA (58 nucleotides) under Ictidomys tridecemlineatus (thirteen-lined ground squirrel). RNAcentral's name for it is "Spermophilus tridecemlineatus (thirteen-lined ground squirrel) tRNA". It matches the Rfam family "tRNA", at positions 8 to 63 of the family's 71-position model. Rfam says of the family: Transfer RNA (tRNA) molecules are approximately 80 nucleotides in length. Their secondary structure includes four short double-helical elements and three loops (D, anti-codon, and T loops). Further hydrogen bonds mediate the characteristic L-shaped molecular structure. tRNAs have two regions of fundamental functional importance: the anti-codon, which is responsible for specific mRNA codon recognition, and the 3' end, to which the tRNAs corresponding amino acid is attached (by aminoacyl-tRNA synthetases). tRNAs cope with the degeneracy of the genetic code in two manners: having more than one tRNA (with a specific anti-codon) for a particular amino acid; and 'wobble' base-pairing, i.e. permitting non-standard base-pairing at the 3rd anti-codon position. The record is from Rfam by way of RNAcentral. Lineage: Eukaryota; Metazoa; Chordata; Mammalia; Rodentia; Sciuridae.